GUGAGGGCGAUCUGGCCGGAACAUCUGUCACCCCAUUGAUUGCCAGAAUUGAUUCGGCUGAUCAGGCUGGCUAGGCGGGUGUCCUCUCCCUCCUUCACAUGUGCGUCCCUCCCAAAGCUGUGCGCCCAGUGGAAGAGGACGCCUGUCCUCAAUAGAGGAGGACCGGUCUUCAGGCAAGGGUAUAGGAGUAGCUGUGCCCCCCAGCUAAGACCUCCAAACAAGCUCUCAAAACGACUUUUGAACGCAUGGCUACAGAACUGAAGCUGCUAGAGGGGUAGAUGCUUUGGAGAAAAAUCCAAAUGUGGAGAUGGCAUCUUUU
RNAcentral lists this small nuclear RNA (319 nucleotides) under Saimiri boliviensis boliviensis (Bolivian squirrel monkey). Its description in RNAcentral is "7SK RNA (ENSSBOG00000000946.1)". It matches the Rfam family "7SK RNA". Rfam says of the family: 7SK was discovered as an abundant small nuclear RNA in the mid-70s but a possible function has only recently been suggested. Two independent studies have found that 7SK RNA binds the CDK9/cyclin T complex (known as elongation factor P-TEFb). P-TEFb activates transcription by phosphorylating the C-terminal domain of RNA polymerase II. Lineage: Eukaryota; Metazoa; Chordata; Mammalia; Primates; Cebidae. The record is from Rfam by way of RNAcentral.